Molecule: long non-coding RNA, 1696 nt
Organism: Oncorhynchus keta (chum salmon)
Lineage: Eukaryota; Metazoa; Chordata; Actinopteri; Salmoniformes; Salmonidae
Exons: 3
Source: RefSeq, a predicted model, not a curated record
AAUGUUAUAAUUACAAAUAUAUAUAUAUAUAAAUUGUCCAAUUAAUCGGUAUCUGCUUUUUUUUGGUCCUCCAACAUUCGGUAUUGGCGUUGAAAAAUCAUAAUUGGUCAAUGUCUACUUCAAAGCCUCUCAAUGGCCAAUACAAUCCAUCAGCAGUGCAGGGUUUAUAUACAUAAUGAAUUGCCUCCCACAUGAACAGUGCUGUUGAUAGGUCUGGGAUCUUCUAUACUGUGACUUGUACAGUGUACACAGAUUCAUGUAAUUCAAACCAGGCAUGUGUGUGUGUUGACAUGCAAAUUACUUGUUAUGAGUGCAGAAUAAUGUGAAAAUAUUGAUAAAAGUAGCAUGUGAAUUCUUCAUAUUAUAUUUUGGAGAAAUUAUAUUUCAUUAAUAGUACACUGAAUUGCUGUUUUACUUCAAAUUAAAGCUGCAAUUUGUAACUUUUUGGUAUUCUCUACACUAUACUUGCUUGUUGUCACAUAUACUGAAACUAUUUGAUUUUUCCGAACCAGAAAACGGCGGAGAGAUUUCUGCAUAGUGCAUUUAAAAAAUGUUAUAACCUACAUUAACAUUUCUCAGUAGGCAAGGUGACAUAAUGUAACAAGCCGUUCUAUCCCCACCAUAGAGCACUGACACAAUAGGACUAAUGUAAUCACUGUUAGUGAUUCACUGAUAAAAUAAGAGUCAUGUUACCACUGAAUCAACCCAUGUUAUCAAACAUACUAGCACUGCCAGUCAAUGUACAAUAGGGUAGGGUACAUAAGAAUACUGAUGUACCAGUUCAAAUACCUGACUGUUAUUUGAUAAUUAGCCAGAAAAAAAUAGGCUCAUACCCAACGGUGCUUACAUAAAACAAGUGUCAGACCAGUUCCUUAUCACAAUGACUAAUAUGACUAAUAUGAAAAGAAUGCUACCAAACAAGCUGCCUGUAGUAGCAGAGCAGGUCAGAAGCUGCUACUUAUUGUGAAUGGAUAAAGCAAGCUGCCUGUAGUAGCAGAGCAGGUCAGAAGCUGCUACUUAUUGUGAAUGGAUAAAGCAAGCUGCCUGUAGUAGCAGAGCAGGUCAGAAGCUGCUACUUAUUGUGAAUGGAUAAAGCAAGCUGCCUGUAGUAGCAGAGCAGGUCAGAAGCUGCUACUUAUUGUGAAUGGAUAAAACAAGCUGCCUGUAGUAGCAGAGCAGGUCAGAAGCUGCUACUUAUUGUGAAUGGAUAAAGCAAGCUGCCUGUAGUAGCAGAGCAGGUCAGAAGCUGCUACUUAUUGUGAAUGGAUAAAACAAGCUGCCUGUAGUAGCAGAGCAGGUCAGAAGCUGCUACUUAUUGUGAAUGGAUAAAGCAAGCUGCCUGUAGUAGCAGAGCAGGUCAGAAGCUGCUACUUAUUGUGAAUGGAUAAAGCAAGCUGCCUGUAGUAGCAGAGCAGGUCAGAAGCUGCUACUUAUUGUGAAUGGAUAAAGCAAGCUGCCUGUAGUAGCAGAGCAGGUCAGAAGCUGCUACUUAUUGUGAAUGGAUAAAGCAAGCUUGCCCACACUGUUUACAUCAUAGAGAACAUCACAUCCAACAUGAUCCAUAAUGUACGUAAAAACAUAUAAUAACCUAGAAAUAACACAACUACCAUUUUAAGGGAAAUGCUACUGAAGAAGUUACAUAAAUUACAAACAGACAUACACAUGGCUGUAAACAAUAAUACUCCAGUAUAGUUGA